UAACACGUGGGUAACCUGCCUGUAAGACUGGGAUAACUCCGGGAAACCGGGGCUAAUACCGGAUGGUUGUCUGAACCGCAUGGUUCAGACAUAAAAGGUGGCUUCGGCUACCACUUACAGAUGGACCCGCGGCGCAUUAGCUAGUUGGUGAGGUAACGGCUCACCAAGGCGACGAUGCGUAGCCGACCUGAGAGGGUGAUCGGCCACACUGGGACUGAGACACGGCCCAGACUCCUACGGGAGGCAGCAGUAGGGAAUCUUCCGCAAUGGACGAAAGUCUGACGGAGCAACGCCGCGUGAGUGAUGAAGGUUUUCGGAUCGUAAAGCUCUGUUGUUAGGGAAGAACAAGUGCCGUUCAAAUAGGGCGGCACCUUGACGGUACCUAACCAGAAAGCCACGGCUAACUACGUGCCAGCAGCCGCGGUAAUACGUAGGUGGCAAGCGUUGUCCGGAAUUAUUGGGCGUAAAGGGCUCGCAGGCGGUUUCUUAAGUCUGAUGUGAAAGCCCCCGGCUCAACCGGGGAGGGUCAUUGGAAACUGGGGAACUUGAGUGCAGAAGAGGAGAGUGGAAUUCCACGUGUAGCGGUGAAAUGCGUAGAGAUGUGGAGGAACACCAGUGGCGAAGGCGACUCUCUGGUCUGUAACUGACGCUGAGGAGCGAAAGCGUGGGGAGCGAACAGGAUUAGAUACCCUGGUAGUCCACGCCGUAAACGAUGAGUGCUAAGUGUUAGGGGGUUUCCGCCCCUUAGUGCUGCAGCUAACGCAUUAAGCACUCCGCCUGGGGAGUACGGUCGCAAGACUGAAACUCAAAGGAAUUGACGGGGGCCCGCACAAGCGGUGGAGCAUGUGGUUUAAUUCGAAGCAACGCGAAGAACCUUACCAGGUCUUGACAUCCUCUGACAAUCCUAGAGAUAGGACGUCCCCUUCGGGGGCAGAGUGACAGGUGGUGCAUGGUUGUCGUCAGCUCGUGUCGUGAGAUGUUGGGUUAAGUCCCGCAACGAGCGCAACCCUUGAUCUUAGUUGCCAGCAUUCAGUUGGGCACUCUAAGGUGACUGCCGGUGACAAACCGGAGGAAGGUGGGGAUGACGUCAAAUCAUCAUGCCCCUUAUGACCUGGGCUACACACGUGCUACAAUGGACAGAACAAAGGGCAGCGAAACCGCGAGGUUAAGCCAAUCCCACAAAUCUGUUCUCAGUUCGGAU
Molecule: ribosomal RNA, 1201 nt
Filed under: Bacillus amyloliquefaciens
Lineage: Bacteria; Bacillati; Bacillota; Bacilli; Caryophanales; Bacillaceae
Description: bacterial SSU rRNA
Rfam family: Bacterial small subunit ribosomal RNA
Source: RNAcentral